Molecule: ribosomal RNA, 907 nt
Filed under: uncultured bacterium
Lineage: Bacteria
Also listed under: 1 other name
Description: bacterial SSU rRNA
Rfam family: Bacterial small subunit ribosomal RNA
Source: RNAcentral
UGGAUCCAGACUUUGAUUAUGGCUCAGGAUGAACGCUAGCUACAGGCUUAACACAUGCAAGUCGAGGGGAAACGACAUCGAAAGCUUGCUUUUGAUGGGCGUCGACCGGCGCACGGGUGAGUAACGCGUAUCCAACCUGCCCACCACUUGGGGAUAGCCUUGCGAAAGUAAGACUAAUACCCAAUGACGUCUCUAGAAGACAUCUGAAGGAGAUUAAAGAUUUAUCGGUGAUGGAUGGGGAUGCGUCUGAUUGGCUUGUUGGCGGGGUAACGCCCCACCAAGGCGACGAUCAGUAGGGGUUCUGAGAGGAAGGUCCCCCACAUUGGAACUGAGACACGGUCCAAACUCCUACGGGAGGCAGCAGUGAGGAAUAUUGGUCAAUGGACGAGAGUCUGAACCAGCCAAGUAGCGUGCAGGAUGACGGCCCUAUGGGUUGUAAACUGCUUUUAUAAGGGAAUAAAGUGAGUCUCGUGAGACUUUUUGCAUGUACCUUAUGAAUAAGGACCGGCUAAUUCCGUGCCAGCAGCCGCGGUAAUACGGAAGGUCCGGGCGUUAUCCGGAUUUAUUGGGUUUAAAGGGAGCGUAGGCCGGAGAUUAAGCGUGUCGUGAAAUGUAGACGCUCAACGUCUGCACUGCAGCGCGAACUGGUUUCCUUGAGUACGCACAAAGUGGGCGGAAUUCGUGGUGUAGCGGUGAAAUGCUUAGAUAUCACGAAGAACUCCGAUUGCGAAGGCAGCUCACUGGAGCGCAACUGACGCUGAAGCUCGAAAGUGCGGGUAUCGAACAGGAUUAGAUACCCUGGUAGUCCGCACGGUAAACGAUGGAUGCCCGCUGUUGGUCUGAAUAGGUCAGCGGCCAAGCGAAAGCAUUAAGCAUCCCACCUGGGGAGUACGCCGGCAACGGUGCA